UAUGCUAUGUCACAAGCAGGUUACAUGCUCUUUGUGUUUUACACCCUCGUGUACCACACCCAUCCCACUCCCGAGGAAAGCCGCCUCCUUCUCCGCCGGCUAUGGCCUCCCCCAUCCCCUCCUCGUCCCCUCAUUAGGAGCCAAGAGAAAGGGAUGGAGAUCCACCACGACCGGACCGAGCAGGUGGUCAAGCGGCGCGCCCAGAUAGCCGUCCUUGUGGAGCUGCGCCCAGAUCGGCCAUGGCGCGACCGAGCAGUUGAGGAGGGAGGGAGAGUAGGAUUGUAGGAGUGCUCCAGCUGCUCCUAUGCCCCAACCACGGAGUCGAUUCCACCUCGGCCACAACAAUAGCACCGGCAGCCAUAUGCUUCUUAUCUCCCUCCCCUCGCCCCUGUUUGUUUAGGUCUGGCAGCUCCCUUCCCUCACUGCCUGAUGUGCGAGGAAGACUGAAUCUUUCCUCCUUGAAGGUCGGUUUCCCGCUACUCCAACCCUAGUGCUUGCCUAUCGGACGCCAUGGAAGUUUCUUGUAUGUACCCAUGAAGGUUGUCAUGGGCUCCACAUGCGUCCUAUUGUUGGCCCUUGAUGCGGCGCCUCGGCCUCCCAUAGAGGACCGAAAGCUUGCGGUAGAAGGAGCAAAAGCAUCUCCGAGCCCUUUGGCCCUUCCUGACGAGUUGCAUCUCAUAGUUCACCAGUGGAAUCCAUGCUUUGUUUUUGUCGCUCUCAGGUUGCAUAUCAUGCCAAUCAUGCCAAAUUGUCUCUGGCCUGCUCACUCGUUGUUUGUUGUCUCAUUUGUCUCUCGCUAUGGAAGAAAUAUAAGAGUGUUUAUAUAGUACCUUUUUCUAGCAUUAUUGAUGAAUUAUAUUCGGUGACUAAUAUGAUGAAUUGUAUUCGGAGACUAAUAUGAUGAAUUGUAUUCGGAGACUAA
This is a long non-coding RNA of Hordeum vulgare subsp. vulgare (domesticated barley), 922 nucleotides long. RefSeq lists it as uncharacterized. The transcript is spliced from 2 exons. NCBI's taxonomy places the organism in Eukaryota, Viridiplantae, Streptophyta, Magnoliopsida, Poales, Poaceae. The record is from RefSeq and is a predicted model, not a curated record.